Long non-coding RNA from Micropterus salmoides (largemouth bass), 562 nucleotides. RefSeq lists it as uncharacterized. NCBI's taxonomy places the organism in Eukaryota, Metazoa, Chordata, Actinopteri, Centrarchiformes, Centrarchidae. The transcript has 3 exons. The record is from RefSeq and is a predicted model, not a curated record.
GUUUGGUUUCAGCAUGACACUGUGUGAAAAAGGAUGACUCCUUUACCUCAGAAAACCUCCCUUCCCAGCGCUGUCAUCCAGCGUGCAUAGCUGGUGCAUGCCGGUGGAAGUUGCUUUUACUGGAGUCCUGAGAAUAUAGCUCAGGCCCCCCUCCCCGCUGUACUGGGACUUUAUGGAGCUGCAGGCUAAUCACAGCGAGCUGCCCAUCCUGUUUCCAGUCCUCACAGUGACGUUCACCAUCGAGGGAGGGCUUGGCAAGGUUGCAGAGGCAAGAGAGGUCUGCAUUUUCACAGCACUCCCUCCCCUCACCCUGCAGCAGGUCAGACAAGGUUGUGGCUCCCUGAUGACUCUGGUUCAUGGGUGAGCUAGGCAGCGUUUAAUGAGAGUAACUUAACCCUUUUAUCACACCAAGUGCUGAAAUGACAAAUGAGCAGCAGAGGAAAGAAGGCAGUGGGUUAGGACUCAUUUCACUUAAAUUUAUUUAUUUUGCUAUUUUAGCAAAGUUGUAUGGAAAUUGCUUGUUUAUGAGCAGAUGACAUGAAAAAGCAGUAAAAAGCCAGAA